This is a non-coding RNA of Pseudopodoces humilis (Tibetan ground-tit), 321 nucleotides long. The record is from RefSeq and is a predicted model, not a curated record. NCBI's taxonomy places the organism in Eukaryota, Metazoa, Chordata, Aves, Passeriformes, Paridae.
GCAGGCGCCGUUUCGGGCACAGCAAGAGCCCCCUGUACCGGGAGAGCCCCGGGAGGGAGCCGCUGGGGUCGCUGAGCCCCGAGGAGAGGGACGCCAGGACGGUUUUCUGCAUGCAGCUCGCCGCCCGCAUCCGGCCCCGCGACCUCGAGGAUUUCUUCUCCGCCGUCGGAAAGGUCCGGGACGUCCGGAUCAUCUCGGACCGGAAUUCCCGACGUUCCAAGGGCAUCGCGUACGUGGAAUUCUGCGAGAUCCAAUCGGUGCCCUUGGCCAUCGGCCUGACGGGCCAGCGCCUCCUGGGGGUGCCCAUCAUCGUCCAGGCGU